GAAAUGCGAUAAGUAAUGUGAAUUGCAGAAUUCAGUGAAUCAUCGAAUCUUUGAAUGCACAUUGCGCCCGCCAGUAUUCUGGCGGGCAUGCCUGUUCGAGCGUCAUUUCAACCAUCAAGCCCCCGGCUUGUGUUGGGGACCUGCGGCUGCCCGCAGGCCCUGAAAAACAGUGGCGGGCUCGCUGUCACACCGAGCGUAGUAGCAUACAUUCUCGCUCAGGGCGUGCUGCGGGUUCCGGCCGUUAAACGACCUUCAUAACCCAAGGUUGACCUCGGAUCAGGUAGGAAGACCCGCUGAACUUAAGC
RNAcentral lists this unclassified non-coding RNA (305 nucleotides) under plant metagenome. RNAcentral's name for it is "partial contains 5.8S ribosomal RNA, internal transcribed spacer 2, and large subunit ribosomal RNA". The stretch from base 1 to 105 matches the Rfam family "5.8S ribosomal RNA", at positions 50 to 154 of the family's 154-position model. The record is from RNAcentral.